UACAAAUAUUUAACACUUUAAAUACAUGAUAAAUCAUUUGAAAAACAUAUAUCAUAAACUUUAUGAAACAAAUCAAAACUUUGAAUCAAAACACCAAACCUUUUUGUUCUUGGCAAGAACAUCAAGAACAAUGAAGAACAUCCAUGAAAAACCCAAAUUUUUCCAUGAACUUUUUUUUUCACCCAAAAACAUUCCAAAAACAUUCUUACUUAAGGGAAAUAACAUCUAACCAAACUAGGGUACUUAGGGAUUCCAAAGAACACAUUAAAACACUUUUAACAAGUCAAACAAGAACCCAAAAUUCCACCCUUUGGAUUUGGCCGAAUUUUCCCAAAAGCAUGGCACCAAAUUUUAGCUCCAAUAUUCAUGCUCAUAUG
RNAcentral lists this long non-coding RNA (377 nucleotides) under Malus domestica (apple). RNAcentral's name for it is "long non-coding RNA (MDOM_LNC019637)". Lineage: Eukaryota; Viridiplantae; Streptophyta; Magnoliopsida; Rosales; Rosaceae. The record is from RNAcentral.